AUCGUAUGCGCCGCGUUCGGUGCUCGCAUGCGCAUUCCGCGCACGCAGUUAAACGGGAAACAGGAGGCGGAAGUCCGCCCGGCCUGUGCUGUCCCCGCAACGGUACGCCGCCCGCGCGCCGCGGUUCCCCCCGCACGCGCCCAGGCCGCCCGCGAUGCCACUGCCCUUCAGCGGGCGGGAAGGCUGCGGCCUGGCAAGCGGCCAGCCCGGAUACCGGCCGACGCAAGGGGCGAGCCC
This 237-nucleotide non-coding RNA is filed under the name Burkholderia diffusa. Lineage: Bacteria; Pseudomonadati; Pseudomonadota; Betaproteobacteria; Burkholderiales; Burkholderiaceae. The record is from RNAcentral.